RNAcentral lists this ribosomal RNA (724 nucleotides) under Carettacola sp. Carettagen2.117. RNAcentral describes it as "eukaryotic LSU rRNA". It matches the Rfam family "Eukaryotic large subunit ribosomal RNA", at positions 447 to 839 of the family's 3401-position model. The record is from RNAcentral. Lineage: Eukaryota; Metazoa; Platyhelminthes; Trematoda; Strigeidida; Spirorchiidae.
CUUAUUGGCCAGCCUUCUGUGUCUGUCAAACGACAGGUGCCUGCUCUACCGGCGGGUAUGUGGGAUGCACUUAUCACGUGCUACACGCAUUGGAGGUGAGUGGUCUGCUUGUCAGUGCACUUUCUCAGGGUGUUCACCACGACCGGCAUUGCUGUCUGUCUACUUUGGUCAAACUGAUCAGGUCUGGUCAUUGCUAGGCUUGGUUGGGAUAGAAGGUAGCUCAUCUGUUCAUUUUAUGGACUAUGAGUGUAAUGAGCUGACCAUAGUGGAUCUGUACGGUAUGCUGGAGAUGACGGCUUUGCAUACGUGCUCUGUCCUUCGGACGGGAUUAAGUUCGGCCGACUUGUUACCAGCCUCUGUUGGUCCGUCGGUGGCUUGAUUUUGUUCUGUUGGCGGUUGCGUGUGUGACAUGGUAUGGGCCAAUAGUCUGUGGUGUUGUGGUAGACGAUCCACCUGACCCGUCUUGAAACACGGACCAAGGAGUUUAACAUGUACGCGAGUCAUUGGGUGUUACGAAACCCAAAGGCGAAGUGAAGGUAAAGGUUCGGCUUGUCCGGACUGAGGUGAGAUCCCGUUGUUUUGCCAAGUAAAUUUUCGAGAUGCGAGCAUCGGGCGCAUCACCGGCCCGUCCCAUGACGUAGACAUGUGACUUCGUGUCGUGUGCACCGUCGGGGCGGAGCAAGAGCGUACACGUUGAGACCCGAAAGAUGGUGAACUAUGCUUG